AUACUUACCUGGCAGGGGAGAUAUCAUGAUCAUGAAGGUGGUUUUCCCAGGGCGAGGCUUAUCCAUUGCACUCCGGAUGUGCUGACCCCUGCGAUUUCCCCAAAUGUGGGAAACUCGAUUUAAAAUUUAGA
Heterocephalus glaber (naked mole-rat) is the source of this 131-nucleotide small nuclear RNA. Its record names the gene U1. It matches the Rfam family "U1 spliceosomal RNA". Rfam says of the family: U1 is a small nuclear RNA (snRNA) component of the spliceosome (involved in pre-mRNA splicing). Its 5' end forms complementary base pairs with the 5' splice junction, thus defining the 5' donor site of an intron. The record is from Ensembl. NCBI's taxonomy places the organism in Eukaryota, Metazoa, Chordata, Mammalia, Rodentia, Bathyergidae.